GAUAAACGCUGGCGGCGUGCAUAACACAUGCAAGUCGAACGAUGAAGCUUAAAAGAUUUCUUCGGAAUGAACUUAAUUGGAUUAGUGGCGGACGGGUGAGUAACGCGUGAGUAACCUGCCUUGUACAAGGGGAUAGCCGUUGGAAACGACGAAUAAUACCCUAUGACAUCAAAUAAUCGCAUGAUAAUUUGAUCAAAGAUUUAUCGGUAUAAGAUGGACUCGCGUCUGAUUAGCUAGUUGGUAGAGUAAAAGCCUACCAAGGCAACGAUCAGUAGCCGGCUUGAGAGAGUGUACGGCCACAUUGGGACUGAGACACGGCCCAGACUCCUACGGGAGGCAGCAGUGGGGAAUUUUGCACAAUGGGGGAAACCCUGAUGCAGCGACGCCGCGUGAUUUAGAAGGCCUUCGGGUUGUAAAAAUCUUUUGUAUGGGAAGAAAAUGACAGUACCAUACGAAUAAGAACCGGCUAAUCACGUG
Molecule: ribosomal RNA, 477 nt
Filed under: uncultured bacterium
Lineage: Bacteria
Description: partial 16S ribosomal RNA
Rfam family: Bacterial small subunit ribosomal RNA
Source: RNAcentral